Long non-coding RNA from Zonotrichia albicollis (white-throated sparrow), 549 nucleotides. NCBI's taxonomy places the organism in Eukaryota, Metazoa, Chordata, Aves, Passeriformes, Passerellidae. The record is from Ensembl.
AUGGAAAUCGUGACCCGCGCUUCUCAGCAUCCCGUAGCAGCGGAGGGCAGAAACCCACGCGGGACGGGCAGCAUCCCACACCGCCGACAUCCUUCUUCGCGUGGAUCCCACGAGGGGCCACGAACCAAGGACAGAUCCACCCUGUCCCUUCCCGGGGCCGCACCUGGCAGUGCCACGCCGAGCCGGGGCCUCACUCCCCCCCAGCCACGCCUGUCUCUCCUCUCAGUGGCGGGAUGCUACAGCGGGACUGUUCUGAGCGAGCGCCGCGCGGGGCGGAGGAGCCAGGGAGGGAAAGCCGGAGCGGCGGACAGGCGCUACACCCCGUGUCUGUCCCGAACACACACUCUGGGGGGCAGGCCGGAUAGAUCGGAUGCCGGCUUGAUCGACUUCCCUUCGCACGGUGCCGGCGGGAUCGCGCCCGGAUUCAGCUCAGGGGAAGGCAAGAGCGUGGUUCAUACAUUCCCGGCCGCAGCCAUGAGCAGGGGUAUCAGUCACCGGUUCCAUGUCACGUUCAGCUGUCCGAAGUUGCUGGGCAGGCUGGAAUCCUAA